This 334-nucleotide ribosomal RNA is filed under the name uncultured eukaryote. RNAcentral describes it as "SSU rRNA". It matches the Rfam family "Eukaryotic small subunit ribosomal RNA", at positions 594 to 945 of the family's 1831-position model. The record is from RNAcentral.
AUAGCGUAUAUUAAAGUUGUUGCAGUUAAAAAGCUCGUAGUUGAAUUUCUGGCCAAUCUCAUGCUGCGCAUCUUGCCGGUAUGAGGUUUGGUCAUCCGUAGGGGAAGCCAGUUCGACCUUCACUGGUCGGCUGGGGGAACCUACAAUUUACUGUGAAAAAAUUAGAGUGUUUCAGGCAGGCAAUCGCUUGGAUACUCCAGCAUGGAAUAAUGGAAUAGGACUUUGGUCUAUUUGUUGGUUUGAGAUCAAAGUAAUGAUUAAUAGGGACAGUUGGGGGCAUUCGUAUUUAAUUGUCAGAGGUGAAAUUCUUGGAUUUAUUAAAGACGGACUUAUG